RNAcentral lists this ribosomal RNA (468 nucleotides) under uncultured bacterium. RNAcentral's name for it is "partial 16S ribosomal RNA". It matches the Rfam family "Bacterial small subunit ribosomal RNA", at positions 28 to 507 of the family's 1533-position model. The record is from RNAcentral.
GACGAACGCUGGCGGCGUGCUUAACACAUGCAAGUCGAACGGAAAGGCCCUGCUUUUGUGGGGUGCUCGAGUGGCGAACGGGUGAGUAACACGUGAGUAACCUGCCCUUGACUUUGGGAUAACUUCAGGAAACUGGGGCUAAUACCGGAUAGGAGCUCCUGCUGCAUGGUGGGGGUUGGAAAGUUUCGGCGGUUGGGGAUGGACUCGCGGCUUAUCAGCUUGUUGGUGGGGUAGUGGCUUACCAAGGCUUUGACGGGUAGCCGGCCUGCGAGGGUGGCCGGCGACCGUGGGACGGAGAGAGGGCCCGGCCGCGUGCGGGAGGCGGCAGGGGCGAAUGGGGCGCACGGGGCGGAAGGGUGAUGCAGCACUGCCGCGGGCGGGAGGACGGCCGUCGGGUGGGAAAAAGCUUGCGCCGGUGACGAAGCGGGAGUGACGGGACUGUGUAAAGGAGCGCCGGCUAACUACGGG